ACGGCGAGUGAAGCGGUAACAGCUCAAAUUUGAAAGCUAGCUCUUUGAGGGUUCGCAUUGUAAUUUGUAGAAGAUGCUUCGGGUGUGGCCCCGGUCUAAGUUCCUUGGAACAGGACGUCAUAGAGGGUGAGAAUCCCGUAUGUGACUGGGUGCUUUCGCUCAUGUGAAGCUCUUUCGACGAGUCGAGUUGUUUGGGAAUGCAGCUCUAAAUGGGUGGUACAUUUCAUCUAAAGCUAAAUAUUGGCCAGAGACCGAUAGCGCACAAGUAGAGUGAUCGAAAGAUGAAAAGCACUUUGGAAAGAGAGUUAAACAGUACGUGAAAUUGUUGAAAGGGAAGCGCUUGCAACCAGACUUGCGCGCUGAUGAUCAUCCGGGCUUCUGCCCGGUGCACUCGUCUGCGCUCAGGCCAGCAUCGGUUUCGGUGGUGGGAUAAAGGCCUUGGGAAUGUAGCUCCUCUCGGGGAGUGUUAUAGCCCUCGGUGCAAUGCCGCCUACCGGGACCGAGGACCGCGCUUCGGCUAGGAUGCUGGCGUAAUGGUUGUAAGCGACCCGUCUUGAAACACGGACCAAGGAGUCUAACAUCUAUGCGAGUGUUUGGGUGUCAAACCCAUACGCGUAAUGAAAGUGAACGGAGGUGAGAACCCUUAAGGGUGCAUCAUCGACCGGUCCUGAUGUCUUCGGAUGGAUCUGAGUAAGAGCAUAGCUGUUGGGACCCGAAAGAUGGUGAACUAUGCGUGAAUAGGGUGAAGCCAGAGGAAACUCUGGUGGAGGCUCGCAGCGGUUCUGACGUGCAAAUCGAUCGUCAAAUUUGCGUAUAGGGGCGAAAGACUAAUCGAACCAUUGUCGGCAGGCACAAAAAAUUCUUGUAAAAGUAGGCUAAAAAGCAACGCUAUUUGCUAUGCUUGCUGGCCGGAUCUUGCGAGGUCUAAAAAACAAGAAAUGAUUUUUGCUGCUAGGUGGUUAAGAGGUAUAUUAAAAGUAUACUUAGUCCGUAGAGGGCAACACUAUCAAAUUGCGGGGACGUCCUGUUUUAAAUACUGAACUACCGCAGCUGCCUCGAAAGAGGUAGUGCGCACCAGGUUAAUGACCUUGGGGAUGGUAAAAACGUUUAGAUAGGGAUAAUCCGCAGCCAAGUCCUAUAGGGUCUUAAGACCUACGGAUGCAGUUCACAGACUAAAUGAUAGUGGGUUAGAUACUCUAGCUUAAGAUAUAGUCGAAUCCCUCGAGAGAUCAAGGGCGGAGUUAAUACUUCCGUUUCUAUUGACUUUUCGUUACUGUAGGCUUGUGGGUGU
This 1291-nucleotide ribosomal RNA is filed under the name Rhynchosporium agropyri. RNAcentral describes it as "partial large subunit ribosomal RNA". It matches the Rfam family "Eukaryotic large subunit ribosomal RNA", at positions 86 to 1741 of the family's 3401-position model. Lineage: Eukaryota; Fungi; Ascomycota; Leotiomycetes; Helotiales; Ploettnerulaceae. The record is from RNAcentral.